Molecule: ribosomal RNA, 253 nt
Filed under: uncultured bacterium
Lineage: Bacteria
Description: partial 16S ribosomal RNA
Rfam family: Bacterial small subunit ribosomal RNA
Source: RNAcentral
UACGAAGGGGGCUAGCGUUGUUCGGAAUUACUGGGCGUAAAGCGCGCGCAGGCGGCUCUUCAAGUCAGGGGUGAAAGCCCAGAGCUCAACUCUGGAACUGCCUUUGAGACUGAAGAGCUUGAGUACGGGAGAGGUGAGUGGAAUUCCCAGUGUAGAGGUGAAAUUCGUAGAUAUUGGGAAGAACACCGGUGGCGAAGGCGGCUCACUGGCCCGUUACUGACGCUGAGGCACGAAAGCGUGGGGAGCAAACAGG